UUUUUUUGGUCUCUAAUACCAAAUUUGUUUUUUAAAUACACGACUAAACUUAUUCUGGUCUAAAAGAAAAAUUUAAUAUCUGGUCUCUAAUACUCAAUUUUAGUGGGAUAGAGACGGGAAUGUGAAAGUAAAGUAAAAAAACCUCCAAAAAUAUUUUUUCAAUGUAAAAUCCCUCCAGAAAUUUAGUUUUCACCCUAAAAUCUCUCCCAAAAAAUUAAUUUCACGCUACAAUCCCUAAUCAAGCGGCGACUUCAACUCUCUUCAAAUUUCAGUCCCUAAUCAAGCGCGACUUCAUCUCUUCAAAGUUCAGAAGGUUGCAAACUUCAUCAUUCAGAACUCGAAGGUUGCAAAAUUCAUCACUUCAAACUCAGAAGAUUGCAAAAUUCAUCACUUCAAAAUAAGAAGGUUGGUGUCUCUACCAUUGGAUUAUCUGCCUAAUCAAGAGAAAGAUUAAUUUCUUCCUCUUUUAUCUGUUUUAGUUCCUUUUUUCUUCUUUUUGUUUUUUUUUCAAUUAAACCAGAAAUCAAAAAUCGGGUUCUGUAAUUUUCUAUUUUUUUUGUUGUUUUCUGCAAUUGGGUUGUUUAGAAUAGUGAUAGUUGUUGUGUGAGUGAUAAAAGUGAGAAUAUCGGUUUAAAUAUGGGGCUUGUAGGUCAAGGAGGAGAAAUUUUAGUUUUUUCAUGUAGAGUUUCGUCUCUGCGAUGGUUUUCUUCUUUGCAAUUUGUGUUACAAUUCUUCUGGGGACUUGUUUGAAGGGUCAUGAGUUUGGCGCUAUAGUAGUAAUGUCACCACUGAUAGAAACAAUUGCUUCAGGCAUUACAGCAUGCGCCACUCGAUCGACAACAGCUCGAUCACUGUUACCUUCUUGAGCCACUAGUGUAACUCCUUGUUGCUUACUAGCAUUGUUUGCUCGAUUCAAAUCACCUGAAGUUACCUUAUCAUCAACUCCUUUUUGUCUAUCAUUAGUCACCGACAAAUCCCCUGUAAUCUCCUCGAUCCUAAUAGCAAUUUGUUGACCUUCAGCGAAGUGAAAAGUCAAUAGUUUCUAUUUCCUAAAACAAACUUGUGUUGAUUACAAGAGAAAAGACACCUUUUUCUUCAGAGGUUUUUUUCUAGAUGUCCAAACAAUAUCUUUUAAUCCCGAAAAGAUGUUCUUGUAGAACUACCAUUUUUAAGGUCCAAGAAUCUGCCAUUUCUUUCGGUACCAAACGGUUUUAGCAAAUAUCUGAAAAUCUUAUGCAGGAACAUGUGUACCUUUUAAUAAUGAAUAUAAUUUGGAGUAAGGAUAUGUGUAUUAGUAAUACGUGUAUAUAACUACUUAAUUUUGAAAGUGCAUUCUUUUUACAACAUUCAUAACAUUCUUUUGUUACUUUAAUUAGUUAAAACCUUUUUUUAUUUCCUAUUUAAGGUUAUGUCAACAAGUAAGCAAUGGAUGCAACUUGUUGAUAACCGAUUUGACGAUACCUAUUUAAUUGGAGUGCAAAAGUUUUUGGAUUAUGCCUUUAGAAGAACAGGAGAAUUGUCUGAAAUACGUUGUCCGUGCGUCAAAUGUUGUAGCACAAAAUUAGGAACACGUGAGACAGUCGAGAUACAUUUGAAAGUAUAUGGAAUAAUUCGAAAUUAUACCUUUUGGUAUCAUCAUGGUGAAGUUUUGGGUGAGACACAGUCGGAAGGCGAAGUUGAUGAUGAUAAUGAAGUAGAAGAUUAUGAGGAUGAGGAUGAAAUACAUGAAAUGCUGAGGGAUUUAUAUCCUAAUAAUGAUGAAGGAACUCCGGACGUUCGUGAUAAUGAUUUACUCGGAGAUGAACCGAACGUUGAAACCAAAAAGGUUUACAGCUCAUUGAAAGAUUUCAAACAACCACUAUACCAAAAUUCGAAAUGUUCAAAGCUUUCCACUUUGAUUAAACUGCUUCAUAUAAAAGGUAUGGGUCGUUAGAGCAAUGAGUCAUUUAUAAUGUUAUUAAAAAUGUUGAAGGAUGAGUUAUUGCCUGAUGGAGCAAAUGUGCCAAAUUCAUAUUAUGAGGGAAAGAAGGUGAUUAGGUGUGAGCACGUAAUUUUUUCCCUAUGUGAAUAACUCCCAUAAAUUCAAGAAAAAUAAAUUUUUCCCAUUAUUGGCAAUUUCGUAGAUUUUUGUGGCAUUUUGUUAAUUGUUUGCAUUUCUUUGUGCAUGUUUAAUUUUGCUUAAUUCAUGAAAAUACAAAAAUACAUUACAUUUGCAUUUAAGAUUUAAUUUUAUAUUUUUAGGUUAAUUAGCAAUUUAGUGGUCUUAUAAAAAAUGAUUAAAAUCACCAAAAAUGACUCAUUUUGUAUUUUUAACUUUUUAACUUUAAAUUUUGAAUUUUCAUUAAUUUAGGAUUUAUUUAAUUAUUGAAAAUAUUGUGUUGAGUGAUUAGUUUAAUUUGGUAAGUCAUUUUAGUUUAAGAGUUAAUUUAAGUGUUAAAUUAAUUUGGUUGAAAGAAAAGAAUUUUAAUAAUAAAAGAGUUGGAAAAUUGACUUGUCUUGCGAAAAUUGGGACAAGAUCAUUGUUACAGCCCAUACAAUACCCAUUAAACCCGUCCGAGCCACGCCUAUCCCCGGCCCAAAGCUUUCAGCCCCAGGAACCUACAAACGAUGUAGUGUGGGAAUAGAACUGCGUCUCUUUGAGUUCAAUAAGCUUUAACAAAUCCUGGCCUUUCAUCUCGUUUCAUCCAACGGCCUAAAAUACUUCUCCAUUUUUGCUUAAGACUGUCCAAAUUCCCCAGAGACAAGUCAGUUCCCAAAUACCCCUUCCACUUCAUCUCCCCAUCUCUAAACCUAGACCUGCCUCCAUGAAUGUCUUCUCCAUCUCCGGCCAGCGGCGGAGCUCAAACCACCACCAAAAUCCAACCACACAACCACCGUUCAUCCCUGAGUCCCAAUCCACAACCUCUUCUCCCCAGGUCCUCACCAAAUCGGGUCAGUUUCAGAUCUAAAACAAAGAAAAGGAGAUCUUUCAAGUCUUCAAGUUCUAUGAACGAUUAGGCCUGAAACUACUAUUGUUCGUUUGUUCUCAAAGAGAACAUGUGAUUGAUACCAAUUUUGGGUCAAAUCGGAAGUUGCCGGACAAGCUUUCAAUCCUGUUUGUCUCCAACCCUAGGUAUUCCUUGUCCAUGUUUUCCCAGCUUUUGUUUCUCCUCCAUAUUCAUUCUUUCUUUUUCUCUUUCUUUUCUCUUUAUUUCCAUCUUUAAUCAGUAAAUUUGUAUAAGCAGUCGCCAUGAGUUAAUCUUGGAUAAUUUUUGUUCGGUUUGUUUUCACUAGUUAGUAUUAAAAUUGAUUUAGUUCUUUUGGGGCCAUAAUUUGAAUGUUAAUUUAUUUGGGUCAGAUUUUUGAGUUUUAGAAUACUCAUGGGCUGGGUGGAGUCUUGGGCCUUUGGUUUAUUUUUGACCCGUCCCAACAACAACCCUAGUUUGUUUGGGUCGGCCUGACCCAUAGUUGGUUUAGGUUGGGAGGGUAAAUAACAAAAAUUUAAAGGGUAGUUUAGGGAAGUUGGCCAAUGGAAUCUUACUAUAACUGAUUGAGAAUCUUCUAGGAAAGUGGGCGAAUGGAUUGGUUUGCAAAGCAAAUUUUAAAUUGCGGUCUGAAGUGAAUAGAGGGAAUUUGGGGAAGGGGUAAAUGCUAAGUUUGGAAACUAACCACUGCUGCCCUAAAACCCCUCUAUAAAGGUCCCAUUUCCUAAAUUUUCAAAGGGAGUUCAGACCCUAGAAAUUAGAAACGGAUGAAAAAUACAAACAUUGAAAAAGUUUGUAGAAUCAGAAAAAAAUACAAAUACAAAUCACAAAAUACUGUUACAUUGAAGCUUUUUGUGUAAUUCUUUGGGUUUUAAAGUUUGAAGUAAUCUUUGAUUCAUUUUGGGCUAAGAAUGGCUUGAAAGGACCGAAUCUCUUGGUUGUUCAGUUUGUGUUGGUGUUGCUGAUAUUCUGCUGAUGUUAACUCUUUGUUUUUAUUUGCAAUUAGGUAUUCUUCAAACUAUGCACAACAAGUGAAUGUGAACAUGUGUUGCGAGUUGAAACCUGAUUGAAUACAAAGUUGAAUUUGACUUCUAUUCCUUAUGUUUCUUCUAUUAUUCUAGUAUUCUGUAGUCAAUCUAAUACUAGACAUGUAUUUUGGCUUUCUCAUGUCCUUCAUAUGUUGUAAAAUGAAUCAAUUUAAGAGUUUGGGUGUGAUUUUGGAUUCAAGUGAUUGAUAUUUGAACAUCAUGGGUUCUGAUACUUGUGGUAUUGAGAAAAUAGCCUAGUUUAGAUUAGAUUUCAUAGUGUAUUUGUGAGUUGUCUUGAAAUUGAAUUCCUGCUGUGUAUUGUUGAAUGUCUAUCGGGCUCGAUAUUGAGUGUUGUUCCUCAGCCUUAGCUUUGCAAGGUUUAGGCUCUUUGGGCCUGGACUUAAGGAUGUUUACAAAGUGGGGAGUUACCUUACCAUGUGUUGUUUAGGCCUGCUUCUCCAAUCCAAUAGCUCACAUGAUCGCUACUGCAGGGCUUGGCUCUGUUAUGGGUUUGGCCGGAGGCCUCAUGGCUUUCAGUUGUGCUAAUUGGACUUUAUACUUAAAACCAUGGUUGUUUAAUGUCAAUCUCGCCAUGUUUUGUUGAUGUGGUGUGUUAAAAUGUUUAAUUGAGGUCUUGAUUUUCUUAUCAUUGUUCUUAAGAUUAGUUUGGGAUUGAAGUUAAACUGAACGUUGUAUGGUUUUGUGUUUGUAUG
Molecule: long non-coding RNA, 4704 nt
Filed under: Nicotiana tabacum (common tobacco)
Lineage: Eukaryota; Viridiplantae; Streptophyta; Magnoliopsida; Solanales; Solanaceae
Description: long non-coding RNA (NTAB_LNC014079)
Source: RNAcentral